UACAGAGGGUGCAAGCGUUAAUCGGAAUUACUGGGCGUAAAGCGCGCGUAGGUGGUUUGUUAAGUUGGAUGUGAAAUCCCCGGGCUCAACCUGGGAACUGCAUUCAAAACUGACAAGCUAGAGUAUGGUAGAGGGUGGUGGAAUUUCCUGUGUAGCGGUGAAAUGCGUAGAUAUAGGAAGGAACACCAGUGGCGAAGGCGACCACCUGGACUGAUACUGACACUGAGGUGUGAAAGCGUGGGGAGCAAACAGG
This 253-nucleotide ribosomal RNA is filed under the name uncultured bacterium. RNAcentral's name for it is "partial 16S ribosomal RNA". It matches the Rfam family "Bacterial small subunit ribosomal RNA", at positions 524 to 776 of the family's 1533-position model. The record is from RNAcentral.